GGAAAACAAGUUCAGGGCUCCCACUGAUUCUACAUUAUGAUGCUAUUUCUGGAGCUGUUAGUCAUGACUAGCUCUGCAUUAAAAUUUGACUGAAGCUGCAUGUAUGUAUUAAAUCAUUCUUUUCAAUUAGGGCAUGAACAAGAUGAACUUUUCCUCACAAAUUGAUGUGGAUGAUCUGUCGCUGCAGGCUUCAUCUUCAACAUUGUCUUGUCCCUUCUUAGAAUGGAUUAUUCAUUUGUAUACUGCUAAUUUGGGAUAGAGGAGCAUUUUCCCCGUAAAGCAUUUCAUAAAGUAUCAAUGAUUUUACCAUUUCUUCCACCCAACUACACCAUAAUUUGAUAUUUGUUCUUGGUCAAUUUUAGCAGAAUUCAUGUUGCUCUGACAAGGGCUUUUGUCAAACUGAUGUCUUACCCAUCUUAGUGACUCAGACUAGAUCUUGUUUAUACAUGUUUUAACAAGGUGUAUGACUUUAUUUUGGUGCAAAAUCUUUUUGAAAUCCAUGAAUAGUUUUUGUAUAAUAUGCAUUUUUAUGAUAUCUUUGAAAACCCUCGUGUGUGUGUGUUUGUGUCUAUGGCAUGCCCUAUAUAUGUGGAAGGAUAAAUCUGUAAAUGCAUGCACUAAUAUGGACUACAGAUGUGAACUAUAUCUCCAUGUACAUAUGUAUCUCUAUAUACAUGUGCAUUUAUGGAUGAAAUAUUUAUUGCCUACUGUGUGUUAAGUGACUGUGCUCUUAGCUAUGCAAAUGAUUUCAACUGAUGUUUUUUCCCUAUCCCAUCUAUUUACUAUCCUCUAACUUGUUCCAAAAAAUAGGAUACAGGAUAAAUAACUGAAAUUGUUUUUUGAAUGAGAUUGCAGUCGAUAUAUGAUUUAGAGGACCAAGCAGGCAAAGAAUUUGUAUAUUCAAUCAAUGCCUCUUAGUUGGUG
RNAcentral lists this long non-coding RNA (924 nucleotides) under Homo sapiens (human). RNAcentral describes it as "HSALNT0307764". Lineage: Eukaryota; Metazoa; Chordata; Mammalia; Primates; Hominidae. The record is from RNAcentral.